RNAcentral lists this ribosomal RNA (486 nucleotides) under uncultured Planctomyces sp. Its description in RNAcentral is "bacterial SSU rRNA". It matches the Rfam family "Bacterial small subunit ribosomal RNA", at positions 29 to 505 of the family's 1533-position model. The record is from RNAcentral. Lineage: Bacteria; Pseudomonadati; Planctomycetota; Planctomycetia; Planctomycetales; Planctomycetaceae.
AAUGAACGUUGGCGGCGUGGAUUAGGCAUGCAAGUCGAGCGAGAAUCUUGUGAGUGAUCCUUCGGGUGAACGAUCAAGAGGACAGCGGCAAACGGCGUAGUAAUGCGUAGGUUACGUACCCCCCGGACCGGGAUAGCCAUGGGAAACUGUGGGUAAUACCGGAUAAUGUCUCCGGACCAAAUGGUGUGAUUCCGCCUGGGGAGCGGCUUACGUGAUAUUAGCUUGUUGGUGGGGUAAUGGCCUACCAAGGCUGUGAUGUCUAGGGGGUGUGAGAGCAUGGCCCCCACGACCGGGACUGAGACACUGCCCGGACAACUACGGUUGGCUGCAGUCGAGAAUCUUCCGCAAUGGGCGCAAGCCCGACGGAGCGACGCCGCGUGCGGGACGAAGGCCCUUGGGUUGUAAACCGCUGUCAGAGGGGAUGAAAUGCAGGUGGGCUAUCCCUCCUGUUUGACAGAGCCUCAGAGGAAGCACGGGCUAAGUACG